Molecule: long non-coding RNA, 649 nt
Organism: Aethalodelphis obliquidens (Pacific white-sided dolphin)
Lineage: Eukaryota; Metazoa; Chordata; Mammalia; Artiodactyla; Delphinidae
Exons: 4
Source: RefSeq, a predicted model, not a curated record
ACUGGGGCACGAACCCGUGUCCCCUGCAUCGGCAGGCGGACUCUCAACCACUGCGCCACCAGGGAAGCCCGUUCUGCACAUUUUAAUAAACAUAAAGCAGGCCUCUGAAGAGAAGGCCAGAAAAGUCUACUCUGGAUUAACAGAGUUGACUCCAUUGAACAUUUAAGGGCUAAGCUACCGCCAAGCGUGCCUGCCGAUCUGCUAGACCGCACAGCUCCCGAUCUCACCUGCUUUCAAGAAAUAGCAAUUCUGUGAUCUAACAUAUCAACAGUUGUUAUCUGGAUAGAGAGCUUAUUGGUCAUUUUGAGGAAAUAAAGAGGUUCUCCUCCAAAGGCUCCUAGUCCAAUUGGAUAUGCAAACCCAGAUGUAAGGACUACACAAAGGCACAGCACCUUGCCAGGCACUCAAACUUGGAAGAGGACAUCAGCCCUCCUCUAGUCUCCAGAGACAGGUAUUGGAACUUCUUCAAGACCUUUUCAGGAGGAUGAUAGAAAUAUGGAGGCCACCCACUCCUCAGUCCUCUCCACUGUCAUGUCAUCAUCCUAAUCCAAGCCCACCUUGGAGUACUUCUCGUUGGCCUCCCUGUUUCCAUUCUCGCCUUCCUAGAAUCCAUUCUCUACACAGCAACCCAGAAUGAUGCAAAAGAUGU